UACAGAGGGGGCAAGCGUUAUUCGGAAUUAUUGGGCGUAAAGGGCGCGUAGGCGGCCUUUCAAGUGACGGGUGAAAUCCCCCGGCUUAACCGGGGAACUGCCUGUCAGACUGGGAGGCUUGAGACCGGGAGAGGUGAGUGGAAUUCCCAGUGUAGCGGUGAAAUGCGUAGAUAUUGGGAGGAACACCAGUGGCGAAGGCGGCUCACUGGACCGGUACUGACGCUGAUGCGCGAAAGCGUGGGGAGCAAACAGG
Molecule: ribosomal RNA, 253 nt
Filed under: uncultured bacterium
Lineage: Bacteria
Description: partial 16S ribosomal RNA
Rfam family: Bacterial small subunit ribosomal RNA
Source: RNAcentral